UGUUUCGGCUAGGGGGCCAUCCCGGCUUACCAACCCGAUGCAAACUGCGAAUACCGGAGAAUGUUAUCACGGGAGACACACGGCGGGUGCUAACGUCCGUCGUGAAGAGGGAAACAACCCAGACCGCCAGCUAAGGUCCCAAAGUCAUGGUUAAGUGGGAAACGAUGUGGGAAGGCCCAGACAGCCAGGAUGUUGGCUUAGAAGCAGCCAUCAUUUAAAGAAAGCGUAAUAGCUCACUGGUCGAGUCGGCCUGCGCGGAAGAUGUAACGGGGCUAAACCAUGCACCGAAGCUGCGGCAGCGACACUGUGUGUUGUUGGGUAGGGGAGCGUUCUGUAAGCCUGUGAAGGUGGCCUGUGAGGGUUGCUGGAGGUAUCAGAAGUGCGAAUGCUGACAUAAGUAACGAUAAAGCGGGUGAAAAGCCCGCUCGCCGGAAGACCAAGGGUUCCUGUCCAACGUUAAUCGGGGCAGGGUGAGUCGACCCCUAAGGCGAGGCCGAAAGGCGUAGUCGAUGGGAAACGGGUUAAUAUUCCCGUACUUGGUGUUACUGCGAAGGGGGGACGGAGAAGGCUAUGUUGGCCGGGCGACGGUUGUCCCGGUUUAAGCGUGUAGGUGUGUGUUCCAGGUAAAUCCGGUU
RNAcentral lists this ribosomal RNA (635 nucleotides) under Salmonella enterica subsp. enterica. RNAcentral's name for it is "partial 23S ribosomal RNA". It matches the Rfam family "Bacterial large subunit ribosomal RNA", at positions 911 to 1547 of the family's 2925-position model. The record is from RNAcentral. RNAcentral also lists the same sequence under 2 other names. Lineage: Bacteria; Pseudomonadati; Pseudomonadota; Gammaproteobacteria; Enterobacterales; Enterobacteriaceae.